GAUGAAGAACGUAGCGAAAUGCGAUAAUUAAUGUGAAUUGCAGAAUUCCGUGAAUCAUCGAGUCUUUGAACGCACAUUGCGCCUCAUGGCAUUCCGUGAGGCAUGCCCAUCUCAGCGUUAGAAAAUAUUCUCAAAUUUUAGUUUUGUGCUAAAAUUUGGAUCAUGUCAAAGAAGCUAUUACUAUUAUUGUGAUCGCUCUUUGGAAAUUGAUAGGUCUUUGAGUUGCUACUCAUAGAACGUGAUGAAUCUUUCUUCAUUCUAUUGUAAUUCACUCUGGUAGUCCUAAAACUUGUAUGCCUGUAGCAUAUCUUGUAAUUUGACCUGAGAUUGGGUAGGGAUACCCGCUGAACUUAAGCAUAUCAAUAAGCGGAGGA
Molecule: unclassified non-coding RNA, 374 nt
Filed under: soil metagenome
Description: partial contains internal transcribed spacer 2 and large subunit ribosomal RNA
Rfam family: 5.8S ribosomal RNA (bases 1-120)
Source: RNAcentral